ACCUUGGCUGUAGACUGCUUUACUGCCCGGGCCGCCCUCAGUAACAGUCUCCAGUCACGGACA
RNAcentral lists this microRNA precursor (63 nucleotides) under Ornithorhynchus anatinus (platypus). Its description in RNAcentral is "Oan-Mir-132-P2_pre stem-loop". Lineage: Eukaryota; Metazoa; Chordata; Mammalia; Monotremata; Ornithorhynchidae. The record is from RNAcentral.